CUCAGGAUGAACGCUGGCGGCGUGCCUAAUACAUGCAAGUCGAGCGAACGGAUAAGGAGCUUGCUCCUUUGAAGUUAGCGGCGGACGGGUGAGUAACACGUGGGUAACCUACCUAUAAGACUGGAAUAACUUCGGGAAACCGGAGCUAAUGCCGGAUAACAUUUGGAACCGCAUGGUUCUAAAGUAAAAGAUGGUUUUGCUAUCACUUAUAGAUGGACCCGCGCCGUAUUAGCUAGUUGGUAAGGUAACGGCUUACCAAGGCAACGAUACGUAGCCGACCUGAGAGGGUGAUCGGCCACACUGGAACUGAGACACGGUCCAGACUCCUACGGGAGGCAGCAGUAGGGAAUCUUCCGCAAUGGACGAAAGUCUGACGGAGCAACGCCGCGUGAGUGAUGAAGGUUUUCGGAUCGUAAAACUCUGUUAUUAGGGAAGAACAAAUGUGUAAGUAACUGUGCACAUCUUGACGGUACCUAAUCAGAAAGCCACGGCUAACUACGUGCCAGCAGCCGCGGUAAUACGUAGGUGGCAAGCGUUAUCCGGAAUUAUUGGGCGUAAAGCGCGCGUAGGCGGUUUCUUAAGUCUGAUGUGAAAGCCCACGGCUCAACCGUGGAGGGUCAUUGGAAACUGGGAAACUUGAGUACAGAAGAGGAAAGUGGAAUUCCAUGUGUAGCGGUGAAAUGCGCAGAGAUAUGGAGGAACACCAGUGGCGAAGGCGACUUUCUGGUCUGUAACUGACGCUGAUGUGCGAAAGCGUGGGGAUCAAACAGG
This 771-nucleotide ribosomal RNA is filed under the name Staphylococcus equorum subsp. equorum. RNAcentral's name for it is "bacterial SSU rRNA". It matches the Rfam family "Bacterial small subunit ribosomal RNA", at positions 23 to 776 of the family's 1533-position model. Lineage: Bacteria; Bacillati; Bacillota; Bacilli; Caryophanales; Staphylococcaceae. The record is from RNAcentral.